Molecule: non-coding RNA, 71 nt
Organism: Heligmosomoides polygyrus
Lineage: Eukaryota; Metazoa; Nematoda; Chromadorea; Rhabditida; Heligmosomidae
Source: Rfam
GCGCCGGUGGUGUAAGGCGAACAUCGCUGCCCGGAAAGCAGAAGAUGCGGGUUCGAGUUCCGCCCGGCGCA